Molecule: ribosomal RNA, 325 nt
Filed under: uncultured eukaryote
Lineage: Eukaryota
Description: partial 18S ribosomal RNA
Rfam family: Eukaryotic small subunit ribosomal RNA
Source: RNAcentral
CCCUUAGAUGUUCUGGGCCGCACGCGCGCUACACUGAUGCAUUCAACGAGCCUAUCCUUGACCGACAGGUCCGGGUAAUCUUUGAAUCUGCAUCGUGACGGGGAUAGAUUAUUGCAAUUAUUAAUCUUCAACGAGGAAUGCCUAGUAGGCGCAAGUCAUCAGCUUGCGUCGAUUACGUCCCUGCCCUUUGUACACACCGCCCGUCGCUCCUACCGAUUGGGUGUGCUGGUGAAAUGUUCGGAUCGGCCGUUUGUCGCGGUUUCCGCGUCAUGUGGCUGAGAAGUUCAUUAAACCCUCCCACCUAGAGGAAGGAGACGUCGUAACA